RNAcentral lists this ribosomal RNA (517 nucleotides) under uncultured Pseudomonadota bacterium. RNAcentral describes it as "bacterial SSU rRNA". It matches the Rfam family "Bacterial small subunit ribosomal RNA", at positions 13 to 523 of the family's 1533-position model. The record is from RNAcentral. Lineage: Bacteria; Pseudomonadati; Pseudomonadota.
UUGAUCCUGGCUCAGAUUGAACGCUGGCGGCAUGCUUUACACAUGCAAGUCGAACGGCAGCACGGGAGCUUGCUCCUGGUGGCGAGUGGCGAACGGGUGAGUAAUGCAUCGGAACGUACCCAGUAGUGGGGGAUAGCCCGGCGAAAGCCGGAUUAAUACCGCAUAUUUCCUGAGGGAGAAAGCGGGGGACCUUCGGGCCUCGCGCUACUGGAGCGGCUGAUGUCGGAUUAGCUAGUUGGUGAGGUAAAGGCUCACCAAGGCGACGAUCCGUAGCUGGUCUGAGAGGAUGAUCAGCCACACUGGGACUGAGACACGGCCCAGACUCCUACGGGAGGCAGCAGUGGGGAAUUUUGGACAAUGGGGGCAACCCUGAUCCAGCCAUGCCGCGUGAGUGAAGAAGGCCUUCGGGUUGUAAAGCUCUUUCAGGUGGAAAGAAAUCACUACCCCGAAUACGGGUGGUGGAUGACGGUACCAUCAGAAGAAGCACCGGCUAACUACGUGCCAGCAGCCGCGGUAA